GGAUGUGAGGGCAAUCUGGCUGCACCCCUCUGAUCACCAGGGUGGACUCUUCUGGCUGCUCUGGCUUCCAGGGUGGAUGUUUGUCUGCUUCCUCCCUUUCGCUCCACAUGCGUCCACCCCUCCCGAAGCUGCAUGCUCCAGGCUCCCAAAAGAGGAUGGUAUCAUGGGUCAGGGUACACAAGGAGCUGUGCUCCCCUGCCAGGCCCUCCAAACAAGCUCUCAAAAACUACAGUGCGGCAUAGACAAGGUGCACUGAACAAAAAGGGGCUCAAGGCUUCAUACAUGAGUUG
Unclassified non-coding RNA from Cavia aperea (Brazilian guinea pig), 290 nucleotides. Its record names the gene 7SK. It matches the Rfam family "7SK RNA". From Rfam's summary of the family: 7SK was discovered as an abundant small nuclear RNA in the mid-70s but a possible function has only recently been suggested. Two independent studies have found that 7SK RNA binds the CDK9/cyclin T complex (known as elongation factor P-TEFb). The record is from Ensembl. Lineage: Eukaryota; Metazoa; Chordata; Mammalia; Rodentia; Caviidae.